Molecule: ribosomal RNA, 260 nt
Filed under: uncultured bacterium
Lineage: Bacteria
Description: partial 16S ribosomal RNA
Rfam family: Bacterial small subunit ribosomal RNA
Source: RNAcentral
GUCCACGCCGUAAACGAUGAUAACUAGCUGUCGGGGCUCUUAGAGCUUCGGUGGCGCAGCUAACGCAUUAAGUUAUCCGCCUGGGGAGUACGGCCGCAAGGUUAAAACUCAAAUGAAUUGACGGGGGCCUGCACAAGCGGUGGAGCAUGUGGUUUAAUUCGAAGCAACGCGCAGAACCUUACCAGCGUUUGACAUGUCCGGACGAUUUCGGGAGACCGAUCUCUUCCCUUCGGGGACUGGAACACAGGUGCUGCAUGGCU